This 124-nucleotide small RNA is filed under the name Marmota monax (woodchuck). The record is from RNAcentral. Lineage: Eukaryota; Metazoa; Chordata; Mammalia; Rodentia; Sciuridae.
GCCGGAUGCGAUGGCCCACACCUGUAAUCCCAGCAGCCUGGGAGGCUGAGGCAGGAGGAUCAAGAGUUCAAAGCCAGCCGCAGCAACAGCAAAACACUAAGCAACUCAUGAGACCCUGUCUCUA